This 74-nucleotide transfer RNA is filed under the name Candidatus Curtissbacteria bacterium RBG_13_40_7. Its description in RNAcentral is "tRNA-Val". It matches the Rfam family "tRNA". From Rfam's summary of the family: Transfer RNA (tRNA) molecules are approximately 80 nucleotides in length. Lineage: Bacteria; Candidatus Curtissiibacteriota. The record is from RNAcentral.
GGACUCGUAGCUCAGCUGGUUAGAGCGUCUCGUUUACACCGAGAAGGUCACAGGUUCGAAUCCUGUCGAGUCCA